Long non-coding RNA from Cucumis melo (muskmelon), 258 nucleotides. RefSeq lists it as uncharacterized. The transcript is spliced from 2 exons. NCBI's taxonomy places the organism in Eukaryota, Viridiplantae, Streptophyta, Magnoliopsida, Cucurbitales, Cucurbitaceae. The record is from RefSeq and is a predicted model, not a curated record.
GUGUAAUAAAAUCAACUACUUCUCAUACAAUUAUAUGCUUUUCAGAAAGAGCAGUGGAUUCUCAAGAGGAGUAUCCAAAUAUCAUGGUCUGUCAAGGUUCCAGGCGUUAAGGCCAAGUAGAGGAAAAGUUAAAGAACUUGUUAGGCGAGAAGAGGUUGUCAAGGCGUUUAGUUUAAACUUAAGUGUUCUACUUAUGUAAUUUGUCAAAAGAGUUGUAAAAAGCUUUGUUCAAGUUAAUAAAAGUAUAUGUUUGUCAAA